GAAGAGAUUUGGGAAAAGGGUAGAAUUAGGAUUGAAGUCUAAUUCUUGCAACUCUUUUUUAUUGAAUCGUUGUAAUCAAGAUUUUCAUUGAUAGUGAAACGGAGAGUGGCUCUCUCCCCCAGAGUAGGUCGGUUUUGACUGAACUGGGUAAACAAUUGCUUCGUGUUCUUUACAGUUUUAUUACUUAUCUUUUGUUCGUGAUUAUUAU
RNAcentral lists this long non-coding RNA (208 nucleotides) under Trifolium pratense (red clover). RNAcentral describes it as "long non-coding RNA (TPRA_LNC009854)". Lineage: Eukaryota; Viridiplantae; Streptophyta; Magnoliopsida; Fabales; Fabaceae. The record is from RNAcentral.